RNAcentral lists this ribosomal RNA (253 nucleotides) under uncultured bacterium. RNAcentral describes it as "partial 16S ribosomal RNA". It matches the Rfam family "Bacterial small subunit ribosomal RNA", at positions 524 to 776 of the family's 1533-position model. The record is from RNAcentral.
UACGGAGGGGGCUAGCGUUGUUCGGAAUUACUGGGCGUAAAGCGCGCGUAGGCGGACCUGCAAGUCGGGGGUGAAAGCCCGAGGCUCAACCUCGGAACUGCCUUCGAUACUGCGGGUCUCGAGUCCGGGAGAGGUAAGUGGAAUUCCUAGUGUAGAGGUGAAAUUCGUAGAUAUUAGGAAGAACACCAGUGGCGAAGGCGGCUCUCUGGGACGGUACUGACGCUGAGACGCGAAAGCAAGGGGAGCGAACAGG